Molecule: ribosomal RNA, 490 nt
Filed under: uncultured bacterium
Lineage: Bacteria
Description: partial 16S ribosomal RNA
Rfam family: Bacterial small subunit ribosomal RNA
Source: RNAcentral
AUUGAACGCUGGCGGCAGGCCUAACACAUGCAAGUCGAACGGUAACAGGAAGCAGCUUGCUGCUUUUCUGUCGAGUGUCGGACGGUUGAGUAUUGUCUGGGAAACUUCCCGAUGGCGGGGGAUAACUACUUGAAACGGUUACUAAUACCGCAUUACUUCGCAAGACCAAAGAGGGGGUCCUUAUGGCCUCUUGCCAUCGUAUGUGCCAAGAUGGGAUUCGGUAGUAGGGGGGGUAGCGGCUCACCUAGGCGACGAUCCGUAUCUGGUAUGAGAGGAUGACCAGAUAGACUGGAAGAGAGAAAGGGUAGAGACAGCGGCAGGAGGAAGCAGUGGGAAAUAUUGCACGAUGGAGGAAAGCGUGAUGCAGGAAAGCCGCGUGUAUGAAGAAGGACUUCGGGUUGUAAAGUAAUUUAAGCGGGGAGGAAGGGAGUAAAGUUAAUAGCUUAGGACAAUGACGUUAGCCGGAGAAGAAGCACCGGCUAACUCCGUG